This 491-nucleotide ribosomal RNA is filed under the name uncultured bacterium. RNAcentral's name for it is "partial 16S ribosomal RNA". It matches the Rfam family "Bacterial small subunit ribosomal RNA", at positions 29 to 506 of the family's 1533-position model. The record is from RNAcentral.
AGUGAACGCUGGCGGUAGGCCUAACACAUGCAAGUCGAACGGCAGCACAGUAAGAGCUUGCUCUUACGGGUGGCGAGUGGCGGACGGGUGAGGAAUACAUCGGAAUCUACUUUUUCGUGGGGGAUAACGUAGGGAAACUUACGCUAAUACCGCAUACGACCUACGGGUGAAAGCAGGGGAUCUUCGGACCUUGCGCGAUUGAAUGAGCCGAUGUCGGAUUAGCUAGUUGGCGGGGUAAAGGCCCACCAAGGCGACGAUCCGUAGCUGGUCUGAGAGGAUGAGCAGCCACACUGGAACUGAGACACGGUCCAGACUCCUACGUGAGGCAGCAGUGGGGAAUAUUGGACAAUGGGCGCAAGCCUGAUCCAGCCAUACCGCGUGGGUGAAGAAGGCCUUCGGGUUGUAAAGCCCUUUUGUUGGGAAAGAAAAGCAGCAGGUUAAUACCCCGCUGUUCUGACGGUACCCAAAGAAUAAGCACCGGCUAACUUCGU